This is a long non-coding RNA of Misgurnus anguillicaudatus (oriental weatherfish), 1497 nucleotides long. RefSeq lists it as uncharacterized. The record is from RefSeq and is a predicted model, not a curated record. Lineage: Eukaryota; Metazoa; Chordata; Actinopteri; Cypriniformes; Cobitidae.
GCGACGGCACUCACAGCCCUCCGCGCGCUCGAGGUGCUUGACACCGGCUCGAGCGGCCCGUCUGGCUCCUCAGCUGUCAUUUAAAAUGUAAAGCGAAUGAAAAUAGAUACACAGGCAUCCUCAAUUAGCACGACUGAAGACAUUUUGUGCCGUUUUCCCCCCUGUUCUUUUUAUGAAGCGGUAUUAGUCAUGAAAGGACGCCGUGUUUUUCUAAAAGAUCCAGAUGCAGAGAGGAGUCAGGAGCAGAGUUGUUUUUAAUCACCAGGGACGGCAGGAGUCGACUUCCUCUGAAGUUUGACCGUAAAGGUGAUUUAAACCAAACAGCUAAACAAGGGAAGUUGCACAUUCCUGUGCAAACAGAUCCAAUAUUUCCUUUCGCAGGGGAGGUUAACAGCAGACAGGAUAUGCAAUAUUUCAUAUGAAAUUGGAAACAGGCCCGCUUGAGCAAAACCAGGGCCUCUAGUAAACCAGACUGCAGGAGAGGGUCUCGUAAACAUGAGGCAUGGAUUAUUCCAGAAUAGGCCCGGGGUCAGAGAUGCAGUUGGAAGGCGCUGGCAAAGGGCAUCGAAUUAUUAAGACUGGAGGUAAAAGCCUGUCAUGGUCUGUAUGUGUACGCCCUCAUUUGUGGAGUACGGAUUUGGCCAGCCUCACCCCCGCAGUGCAGCCAAGUCCCUAUCUCACCCCCGCAGAAGCCAAAGCAUCAAACCUCCUCCACGUCUGCGGCGUCUGUACCCUCCAGCCACCUCCCCAACACUCACUCCUCUACCACACCUUCUCUCCGCUCACAUAAUCAUCUUCCUAGCCUUCUGGUCAUCUGUGGAUCCUAUUUUUGUAUUUGGUAUUUGGUACCCGGGUGCUUUUCUUCUUCCAAAAUAGGCAAUUUAGUUCAUGUAACAGCUAUGAAUCAUGAUUUGCUACUUUCUAUUGCUAAUCAGAUUUACUUUUCAGUAAGUGUAUUUGACCCUGUCUGUGAAAUCCAGACUAAAGUCUCAUAAUCUAAUUUUGAGAUUAAGCACUGUAAAAAAAGGAGGUUCAACUUAAAAAAGUAAGUUAUCUAAUUGCCUUAAAGGUGGUGUGUGUACAUUUUAGCGGCAUCUAAUGGUCAGAUUGUAAAUUGCAACCAACAGCUCACCCCUUAAUUUCAAAAUGCAUAUGGUAGCCGUCACAGGACAAAUAUGUUGUCAUCUGAGACAACGUAGGGACAAAACCCGCUCGGUAGUGCAGUUUGUCCGUUUAGGGCUACUGUACAAACAUAACAGCGACUUCCAUAUAAGGGGACCCACAGUGUAUGUAUUUAAAAACGGCUCAUUCUAAUGUGGCAUUCACACCAGACGCAGCACAGGCGGCAAGCGCGAGUGAUUUACAUGUUAAGUCAAUGCAAAGACGUGAAUAGGCAUCGUGUGUGUUCCGCGCGAAUUGAGCGUUGCCGCGUGAAAAGCGCAAGUCGAAAAAUCUGAACUUUGGCGGAUAUAUGCUCUGGUAGUGACGUGAUUCAGG